RNAcentral lists this small RNA (286 nucleotides) under Mus pahari (shrew mouse). RNAcentral describes it as "sRNA (MGP_PahariEiJ_G0008092.1)". The stretch from base 1 to 206 matches the Rfam family "7SK RNA". From Rfam's summary of the family: 7SK was discovered as an abundant small nuclear RNA in the mid-70s but a possible function has only recently been suggested. Two independent studies have found that 7SK RNA binds the CDK9/cyclin T complex (known as elongation factor P-TEFb). The record is from RNAcentral. Lineage: Eukaryota; Metazoa; Chordata; Mammalia; Rodentia; Muridae.
GGAUGUGACGGCUCUCUGGCUGUGACAUCUGUCACUCCAUUGCACACACUAGGGUUGAUUCAUCUGAUCUGGCUUGUUAGGUGGGGGUCCCCUUCCUUCAUUUCUUAAUCUGUGACUCCUCCAUCCCCCCAAGCUAUUCACUCUGUCAGAGAGAACGAAAUUCCUGGAUAAAAGAGGAUCAUUCUUGGGCCCAGGGUAUGGAUGUGGUAAAAAAAAAAAAAAAAAAAAAAAAAAAAAAAAAAAAAAAAACCACGAGCUCUCCAGUGACAAAAUGUGGCUCAUAUUU